This 144-nucleotide non-coding RNA is filed under the name Partenskyella glossopodia. The record is from RNAcentral. Lineage: Eukaryota; Cercozoa; Chlorarachniophyceae.
GUAAAUAUCUCAGACAUACAACAUGUAAGCAUGCUUGACUCCCGGCCAUUUCGAAGUAAAAAAGAUAAAAUUUGAUAGAGAAAAAAACGACAUAGAUCAAUGUCGGCCCAGUAUUUUUUGUUUUGUUGCAUUUUUAUUUUUUUU